This is a long non-coding RNA of Notolabrus celidotus (New Zealand spotty), 439 nucleotides long. RefSeq lists it as uncharacterized. The record is from RefSeq and is a predicted model, not a curated record. NCBI's taxonomy places the organism in Eukaryota, Metazoa, Chordata, Actinopteri, Labriformes, Labridae. The transcript has 2 exons.
UCAGUACUCUCCAACGUGACCCACUCCACAGGGCAUGUUUAGUCAUCAGCAUCCCGUAGCCUGUUAACCACAGACUUGGAUCAGUCACAUUGGGAUACUUUCAUCCAUAUUUAAUUCUUGCAUUGCUCUGGAAAUGAAGAUGCCCUAUAAUUGCUGCCGCCAUGUUUGUUUUGCAGAUGCAUCACUCGCUGAGGCUGCAACUAAACAGGUAGUAGGCAGCUGUCAGGAACCGAGGUGCAACAAGACAGGAGAGUGAAGGAGCUGUCAAUCAAACCCGGUCUGCCAGCACGGUCCUGAGUCAAGGUUCAGUCAGGUCACUGGUGAGAGGAAAAGGGAGGGGCAGAGGUAUCCGGCAUGUGGCAUCAAUAAAACAUAAGUCAUGGUGUUAAAAAGUGUCAUUGCAAAAUGUAAAUUUUCCCUAAUAAAGGAGUUAAAAGAA